RNAcentral lists this long non-coding RNA (527 nucleotides) under Phoenix dactylifera (date palm). RNAcentral describes it as "long non-coding RNA (PDAC_LNC013888)". The record is from RNAcentral. Lineage: Eukaryota; Viridiplantae; Streptophyta; Magnoliopsida; Arecales; Arecaceae.
AUGUAGGUGCUGGGAUGCACCGAACCACUAUAUUUUUGUUGUGUUUGUGAUGCUCUUUGUUGUCUGACUUCCUCACUCACUUACUUACUUAGAUACUAAGCUUGCUUAACUCUUCUUCGUGCAUCCUUUAGUUGCAAGCAUAUUCAAUUUACUUAAUCAAGUCUCAUUCAAUUGAAUUGCAUACUUGGGCAAACUUAGACAAAUCUUUUAUUGAAUCCGCUGCUUAAUAGUUGAUUAGAUUAGAAUCAUACUCUUGCUAAGUUUAAAUUUCACUAAGCAUCCAUACAACUUAGCUUAAUUAACUCUAAAAGAUUAGAAGUAGUUUAAAAGUUUUUAAAAGACCCAAUUCACCCCUCCUCUUGGGUUGUCACCUUGGGCAACAAGCAGUCUUUGUCAAAUGUCAUAACAUGACCAUCCUGUGCUAAACAUGAAACAGAAAUCAAAUUCCUGCUAGCAGCAGGGACAUAAUAACAGUCUCUAAGCAAUAAACUAAAUCCAGACGGUAAUCACAGAGGAUAGGUGCCCAC